CUUAGUGGCGGACGGGUGAGUAACGCGUGGGUAACCUGCCUCAUACAGGGGGAUAACAGUUAGAAAUGACUGCUAAUACCGCAUAAGACCACAGCACCGCAUGGUGCAGGGGUAAAAACUCCGGUGGUAUGAGAUGGACCCGCGUCUGAUUAGGUAGUUGGUGGGGUAACGGCCUACCAAGCCGACGAUCAGUAGCCGACCUGAGAGGGUGACCGGCCACAUUGGGACUGAGACACGGCCCAA
This 243-nucleotide ribosomal RNA is filed under the name uncultured bacterium. RNAcentral's name for it is "partial 16S ribosomal RNA". It matches the Rfam family "Bacterial small subunit ribosomal RNA", at positions 91 to 334 of the family's 1533-position model. The record is from RNAcentral.